UUGGAGGGCAAGUCUGGUGCCAGCAGCCGCGGUAAUUCCAGCUCCAAUAGCGUAUAUUAAAGUUGUUGCAGUUAAAAAGCUCGUAGUUGAAUUUCGGGAUCAAAUUGUCGGUCGUGCCUCGGUACGCACUGGUAUUAUUGGUUCCUACCUUCUGAAGAACCGCGAUGUCAUUAAUUUGGUGUCGUGGGGAAUCAGGACUGUUACUUUGAAAAAAUUAGAGUGUUUAAAGCAGGCUUACGCUUGAAUACAUUAGCAUGGAAUAAUGAAAUAGGACGUUUGAUUCUAUUUUGUUGGUUUCUAGGAUUGACGUAAUGAUUAAUAGGGAUAGUUGGGGGCAUUAGUAUUCAAUUGUCAGAGGUGAAAUUCUUGGAUUUAUUGAAGACUAACUACUGCGAAAGCAUUUGCCAAGGAUGUUUUCAUUAAUCAAGAACGAAAGUUAGGGGAUCGAAGACGAUCAGAUACCGUCGUAGUCUUAACCAUAAACUAUGCCGACUAGGGAUCGGAUGAUGUUAACUUUUUAAUGACUCAUUCGGCGCCUUAGGGGAAAC
RNAcentral lists this ribosomal RNA (548 nucleotides) under uncultured Glomeromycotina. Its description in RNAcentral is "SSU rRNA". It matches the Rfam family "Eukaryotic small subunit ribosomal RNA", at positions 548 to 1098 of the family's 1831-position model. The record is from RNAcentral. Lineage: Eukaryota; Fungi; Glomeromycota.